AUUCUAUCACUUCUGCCAAAUGAAGGUUUGUCCGUUUGCUUUUGCUGAGUUUGUACAAGGGAGUUGUUGGGUUAGAUAUUAGUUUGCUAACUGAUUCCACUGGUCACAAGGUUAUUGCUGAUGCAGGAAUCGAUCAAGGCUCCGAGAACACUUCAAGUGAGACUGAUAGAAUAUCUCGCGAGCUCAACGAGGUUAUUGAUAUUGAUUCAUUGGUCAAUGGGGCACGCGUAAGAAACACAAGACUACCGUAGGAGUUGUACAUAUUGGUUCUGUGAGUGAGGAUGGGAAUUGUUUAUAGUAGGAGUAUCGCAGUAUAAGAAGAGAAGAUCUUGUUGGGGUUACUACAACUAUUGUUGGCGCUUCGAGUCCUUCCAGUUUUCUACCAGUGAGUUUGUCAUAUGUUCCCCUUGCUUGUUCACCAAGCACUGUUAAUGUGGAUACCUCUUCCGCAUGCUGCUGUGCUUUCCCCUCUAUGGUUGUCGUUAGAGAAGCGUCGAUCGGGGGUAAUAAAGGUUCAUAUUCUUGGCAUGAGGACUCGAGUCAACAGGGGUACCCUUAUAACCCUGAUGUCGCGAUCCUUGGAUGGCAAGCUUUAGUGCUAGAGGCUGCUAGACCAAGCAGCGCACAGCUACCCCCAGCCUCAAGCUUGUGCUCCUCUCUAUGAUUCUUACUUUCUAAGGCUAAUAUAGUUGGAUUGAGGUAUGAAGAGGCCCGUCAAAGGGAGCUCGCAGAUACUAAGAUGGAUUUGGCAAGAGUUUGCGAGUAGUAUCACAAGAUGAUGGAGGAGAAAAGGUUAUCAUCAAGCAAAAUGAAAAUAUCACGGAGUGUUUGGCAAUCGUUGAGAUUAAAGCGGAAGGGUUAGAGUAUGAUCUGGUUGCUGAAUGGAAAAGCAAAUAAGCUUUGCUAGCUGAGUUGGACAGGCUUACAGAGGAGCACACAGCUGAAACAGAUAGAAUUAUCCGAGAGUUCCAAGAUCAAGUGGCUAGCACGAUCAGGGAGCAGCUUUAGGUUCAAGUGGAUUUUAAGAAAAAAAUAGCUGAGAAUGUUUUAAGUUUUAUUUCGAAGCUGAAGAUGAACAUACUACUCCUUGCUUAGGUCACUGGUGGUCCCUUCGAUGUUUGUAAAGUGGAUUUUGAUGCUCUCGAGGGGGUGGAUAUGAGCGAGCUAGCCUUUGAUGUGCUAUGUCCUUCGGGUGCUACGUGAGACUCUUUUGUGUCCUUCUAGAAGAAUUCUCCAGCUUUUUACUUAGAGGAUGACUCAAUUGAAGAUAACAUUUUGGUCUCUUCUGCUGAAAAUAUGACCUCCCUUGUUGCUGGUGAUGAUGUGGCCCCUAUUGCUGGAAACGAUGAUGACGUGGCCCUUGCUACUGGUAAUGAUGUGGUCACGGUGCUGAAGGGGAAACUAAUGUACUUUAGCUUGUCUAAUGC
RNAcentral lists this long non-coding RNA (1427 nucleotides) under Gossypium barbadense (sea-island cotton). RNAcentral describes it as "long non-coding RNA (GBAR_LNC019218)". Lineage: Eukaryota; Viridiplantae; Streptophyta; Magnoliopsida; Malvales; Malvaceae. The record is from RNAcentral.